This 465-nucleotide ribosomal RNA is filed under the name Vreelandella stevensii. RNAcentral's name for it is "partial 16S ribosomal RNA". It matches the Rfam family "Bacterial small subunit ribosomal RNA", at positions 338 to 795 of the family's 1533-position model. The record is from RNAcentral. Lineage: Bacteria; Pseudomonadati; Pseudomonadota; Gammaproteobacteria; Oceanospirillales; Halomonadaceae.
CCUACGGGGGGCUGCAGUGGGGAAUAUUGGACAAUGGGGGCAACCCUGAUCCAGCCAUGCCGCGUGUGUGAAGAAGGCCCUCGGGUUGUAAAGCACUUUCAGUGAGGAAGAACGCCUGGUGGUUAAUACCCAUCAGGAAAGACAUCACUCACAGAAGAAGCACCGGCUAACUCCGUGCCAGCAGCCGCGGUAAUACGGAGGGUGCGAGCGUUAAUCGGAAUUACUGGGCGUAAAGCGCGCGUAGGUGGCUUGAUAAGCCGGUUGUGAAAGCCCCGGGCUCAACCUGGGAACGGCAUCCGGAACUGUCAAGCUAGAGAGCAGGAGAGGAAGGUAGAAUUCCCGGUGUAGCGGUGAAAUGCGUAGAGAUCGGGAGGAAUACCAGUGGCGAAGGCGGCCUUCUGGACUGACACUGACACUGAGGUGCGAAAGCGUGGGUAGCAAACAGGAUUAGAUACCCGAGUAGUC